UACGAGAGGCCCAAACGUUAUUCGGAUUUACUGGGCUUAAAGAGUUCGUAGGCGGCGCAGCAAGUCGGGUGUGAAAGCCCUCGGCUCAACCGAGGAAUUGCGCUCUAAACUACUGUGCUUGAGGAAGCUAGAGGUGAGCGGAACUGAUGGUGGAGCGGUGAAAUGCGUUGAUAUCAUCAGGAACACCGGAGGCGAAGGCGGCUCACUGGGGCUUAUCUGACGCUGAGGAACGAAAGCCAGGGGAGCGAACGGG
RNAcentral lists this ribosomal RNA (253 nucleotides) under uncultured bacterium. Its description in RNAcentral is "partial 16S ribosomal RNA". It matches the Rfam family "Bacterial small subunit ribosomal RNA", at positions 524 to 776 of the family's 1533-position model. The record is from RNAcentral.